UGCCUAACAGCUAGCCCAUCCAAACAAUUUCAACAAACCCCUGUUAAUAACCCCUAAAUACCCCAGUAUUUAUUUUAAACAAACCAUUUUUCCCCCCUAGUAUAGGCGAUAGAAAAGGGCCCACGGCGCAAUAGAGAAAGUACCGCAAGGGAACGCUGAAAGAGAAGUGAAACAACCCAGUAAAGCCUAAAAAAGCAGAGAUCAAAACUCGUACCUUUUGCAUCAUGAUUUAGCAAGUGUAACCCAAGCAAAGCGUACUUUAGUUUGACGUCCCGAAACUAGGUGAGCUACUCCAAGACAGCCUAUCAAUAGGGCGUACCCGUCUCUGUGGCAAAAGAGUGGGGAGAGCUUUGAGUAGAGGUGACAAACCUACCGAACCUAGUUAUAGCUGGUUGUCCAAGAAAUGAAUAGAAGUUCAGCCUUUCAGCUUCUCUUUUCACUUUAGUCUGACCCCUACUGAUGCAUUAAAGAAACCGAAAGAGUUAGUCAAAGGGGGUACAGCCCCUUUGAAUCAAGACACAACUUUACCAGGUGGGUAAAGAUCAUAAUAAUUAAAGCUAAAUGUUCUGGUGGGCCUAAAAGCAGCCAUCCCCUUAGAAAGCGUUAAAGCUCAGACAUGCGACCACCCUUCUUAUUCUGAUCACUAAAUCUUACCCCCCUAACCGUACUGGACCAUCCCAUGCCCCCAUGGGAGUGACUAUGCUGAAAUGAGUAAUAAGAGAGCUACCGGCUCUCUCCCUGCACACGUGUACAUCGGAACGGACAACCCACCGAACCUUAACGGCCCCAAAUAAAGAGGGCAGUGGAUGUCAGACCAAAAAACUAGAAAAAUAUCCAAAAACAAACCGUUAAACCCACACAGGUGUGCCCCCAGGGAAAGACUAAAAGAA
RNAcentral lists this ribosomal RNA (890 nucleotides) under Hexagrammos octogrammus (masked greenling). RNAcentral's name for it is "partial 16S rRNA". The stretch from base 191 to 890 matches the Rfam family "Bacterial large subunit ribosomal RNA", at positions 566 to 1698 of the family's 2925-position model. The record is from RNAcentral. Lineage: Eukaryota; Metazoa; Chordata; Actinopteri; Perciformes; Hexagrammidae.